RNAcentral lists this long non-coding RNA (564 nucleotides) under Diabrotica virgifera virgifera (western corn rootworm). RNAcentral describes it as "uncharacterized LOC126881533". Lineage: Eukaryota; Metazoa; Arthropoda; Insecta; Coleoptera; Chrysomelidae. The record is from RNAcentral.
AUUUAGUCCAUUCCGAAGUUGUAGUUUGUUUUGACAUUUCCGUUUUAUUUAACCUAACCUAUGUUUUGUGUUUUAUUGUUUAUUGUGUUGUAUACAAGGAGUUGUAUAUUGAAAUUGAAUUGAUUCUUGUUUCAUUGAAUAUAGAGGAGUUGUUCUGUUGCAAGUUGUUCUAGUUUUGUUGUUUUAAAAUCUGCGAAAAACUAUUUAUAGAUAAUGGUGAACUUAAACAAGAAAUGGACAUGCAGUUUGCUGAUUACUUAAUUGUGUACUCACAACACAUAGGAUUUCUCUGACACAGUUUCCAGUACAGAACUGCCACAGGAAUCUCCAGUGGAGUUGCAACCGCUCUCACGGACGUCCACAAAUCAAGUUACAAAACUGUUACAUGACUCUAUUGGAGUUGCAACCGCAAUUGGAUAAAAGUGAAAUUCGAAUAAUGCCAGAAAGACUAUAACCGUCCAAAGUGAUAGUGUGAAAUUAAAAUCAAAUGAUUACGUAUAAAUCAUAUUUAUAAUAAUUAUAAAUAGUAGCUGUAUUUUUUAAAUAAACAGAUUUGAUAAGUUA